AACAUAUUAAAUAAAACAAUUCUUAAUAUGACAAAAAGGAAAACAUAUGGCCAGGAAUAUCUGACAAGGAUCUCAAUUAAGGACUAGGUCCUAACAACCAGUUAACCUUUUAUAUAAUAUGGUACAUAGACUCAGCUCUGUGAUUCUUUUCAAAGCAGAACCAAAUGCAUUGUACAAUGAAAGUUCCAAUCAUGUACUUGGGUCCGAAGCUGCACAUAACUCAUUACAAACAAAGAUUUCUUUCGUUUCAAGCC
RNAcentral lists this long non-coding RNA (254 nucleotides) under Mytilus galloprovincialis (Mediterranean mussel). Lineage: Eukaryota; Metazoa; Mollusca; Bivalvia; Mytilida; Mytilidae. The record is from RNAcentral.